GGCAGAAGCUGUUCAAGUGAGAGGAAUUCAGACGCUGGGCUUGGAACAUUUUGCUCCUUUAUCCAAGCGCCUUUCAGGACACUGAUUAUAACCUACAUCAAAGGACGAUGCCACGAGCUGUGGUAGCACCUCAUUAACACUCUGCACAAGAAUCCUACGUACUGAUACCUGCCGUGUCUGAAUCCUACACCGAGCCACGAACUACUCCUCACCCCGAGUUAAGU
This 224-nucleotide long non-coding RNA is filed under the name Fukomys damarensis (Damara mole-rat). RNAcentral's name for it is "lncRNA (ENSFDAG00000029371.1)". The record is from RNAcentral. Lineage: Eukaryota; Metazoa; Chordata; Mammalia; Rodentia; Bathyergidae.